This is a long non-coding RNA of Macrobrachium nipponense, 274 nucleotides long. RefSeq lists it as uncharacterized. The record is from RefSeq and is a predicted model, not a curated record. The transcript has 3 exons. NCBI's taxonomy places the organism in Eukaryota, Metazoa, Arthropoda, Malacostraca, Decapoda, Palaemonidae.
GCCGACCUUUGUUUGUUUACACCGUCAAAUGUCAAAAAAGUGUCUCUCUAAGCUGCGAAGAUGUCGUCAAAACGAAGUGACAUUGAACGUCAAGAGUUGGGAGAGCCAUCAAGAUUUGUUCCUGGGGUAUCUGGUGUGCAAAUCAUUACAAAGGAAAUUUCUGAAGCCAGGACAGAUGUUCCUGAAACUAGCCUUGCAGAUAGAAAACGGCCUGGAAGACUUCGGAAAAAGCUGAGCACCCGUCCCACUACCCGAUUUGAUGAGGUCCAGUGUU